CAUCCAGCGAGCAAAGUGGGAUGAUCUGUCACUACACCUGCAGCACCACGUUCGGAGGACAGCUCCUGCUUGCUGCUUCCAGAGCCAGGAAGCCUGAGGGGAAGAAAGGAAGUACGGGCGAAAUCGUCAGAUUGGCUUCCCGGGUUUGGGAAUCUGAAGCGGGCCCGCAUCUUCCGGCCAACUUCCAUUGAACUUCCCAGCACUCGAAAGGGACCGAAAUGGAGAGCAAAGGGUCUUUGGACUCAUUUAAAGUCAUAUGGGUG
Dama dama (fallow deer) is the source of this 263-nucleotide long non-coding RNA. RefSeq lists it as uncharacterized. Lineage: Eukaryota; Metazoa; Chordata; Mammalia; Artiodactyla; Cervidae. The transcript has 3 exons. The record is from RefSeq and is a predicted model, not a curated record.